UUGGUUUGCUUCGGCGGAUCAGCCCGCGCCCCGUAAAAGGGACGGCCCGCCCGAGGACCCCUAAACUCUGUUUUUAGUGGAACUUCUGAGUAAAACAAACAAAUAAAUCAAAACUUUCAACAACGGAUCUCUUGGUUCUGGCAUCGAUGAAGAACGCAGCAAAAUGCGAUAAGUAAUGUGAAUUGCAGAAUUCAGUGAAUCAUCGAAUCUUUGAACGCACAUUGCGCCCGCCAGUAUUCUGGCGGGCAUGCCUGUUCGAGCGUCAUUUCAACCCUCAAGCUCAGCUUGGUGUUGGGACUCGCGGUAACCCGCGUUCCCCAAAUCGAUUGGCGGUCACGUCGAGCUUCCAUAGCGUAGUAAUCAUACACCUCGUUACUGAAAAUUCGGUCGCA
This 392-nucleotide unclassified non-coding RNA is filed under the name Fusarium sp. 7s MS-2015. RNAcentral describes it as "sequence contains 18S rRNA gene, ITS1, 5.8S rRNA gene, ITS2 and 28S rRNA gene". The stretch from base 112 to 265 matches the Rfam family "5.8S ribosomal RNA". Lineage: Eukaryota; Fungi; Ascomycota; Sordariomycetes; Hypocreales; Nectriaceae. The record is from RNAcentral.